AUGAUUGGUGAUGAUGAAGAUUCGGUUAUGGAGAGUGGGAUGGAGAAGAUUGCAGAGAGAAGUUUGGAGAAUUUCAGUCAGAGAGUUUGUGGUGAUUCUUCAGGAUUGUUGAAGAAUGAAGGCGGAGAUGAGAGGAGAAGAGAGCCUUUGUUCUGUGAUUCUUCAGGGAAUUUUUUUAAGAAUGCCAUUGAAAGAGGUAAAUUAUGUUUAUAUAUUCUGUUACCUUGGAUCUAG
Molecule: non-coding RNA, 234 nt
Organism: Vicia faba (fava bean)
Lineage: Eukaryota; Viridiplantae; Streptophyta; Magnoliopsida; Fabales; Fabaceae
Source: the annotation of a GenBank genome assembly